CAGUAGCCGCGGUAAUACAGAGGGUGCAAGCGUUAAUCGGAAUUACUGGGCGUAAAGCGCGCGUAGGUGGUUUGUUAAGUUGGAUGUGAAAGCCCCGGGCUCAACCUGGGAACUGCAUCCAAAACUGGCAAGCUAGAGUACGGUAGAGGGUGGUGGAAUUUCGUGUGUAGCGGUGAAAUGCGUAGAUAUAGGAAGGAACACCAGUGGCGAAGGCGACCACCUGGACUGAUACUGACACUGAGGUGCGAAAGCGUGGGGAGCAAACAGGAUUAGAUACCCCCGUAGUCCCUGUCUCUUAUAC
Molecule: ribosomal RNA, 301 nt
Filed under: uncultured bacterium
Lineage: Bacteria
Description: partial 16S ribosomal RNA
Rfam family: Bacterial small subunit ribosomal RNA
Source: RNAcentral